Long non-coding RNA from Petromyzon marinus (sea lamprey), 2606 nucleotides. RefSeq lists it as uncharacterized. The record is from RefSeq and is a predicted model, not a curated record. Lineage: Eukaryota; Metazoa; Chordata; Hyperoartia; Petromyzontiformes; Petromyzontidae.
UUUGUUGCCAGAAAAAAGGGGAAAACCUAUUCUCAUAUUUUGGUACUGGCAAAGGAGGUCCCAUGAUGUAAUGCCGCGUGUUCAAAACACAACACUUUUCGCCAUAAACGCGGUUCUUUCAUUUGGGAACGCUUUUCGCACAAUACGGAACGUGCCCGUCAACGCGGUUUCUGAGCGGGAACGCAUCUACCACAUUAAACGAGGCCUUGCUGUACUACAGUUCUGUAGGUAUAGACAGGAGAGCAUCUGAAUGGACAUCAGGGGAACCAUGCUCUCUGGACUCAUUUACAUGCUUGAAAUGCACAUUAUGUAUAACUGCAUGGCACAGCUGCUAUGUAUGACUGCAUUGCACAGCUGCACACAGCCAUUCGAGCAGUCUUACCACGAACCCAGUGGGAAGCCUGAGACUCACCCAGCCAGUCUCUCAGGAAUCUAGGUACCCUGUGCCUCCAAUUAAUAAGGAUGCUGCGAUAUAAUUAUUAACGACACAACACCACAUUUCACGAUAUGGAAAUUAUUACAUUAUCAGUUUCCCAUUACGUUCUACAGUAUUUGUAGUUUACGUUAUUGUAUGCUUUGCUAAAUUUCAGUACGAGUAAAGAUUACUUUAAUAGUUCUUCGAACUGCAGUUCACUUAACAUAAGCCUUUCACAAAUACUCUAAUCCUGUAAUUCCAUUUUACAAAUGCUGUCAGUUAUAAGAAAUCAGCAUUACUACUAAAAUAAUGUCAAUUGCCAUGCCAUCAGUAACAUCGCAAAGCUUUAUGCAUGCACACAUUUUAUAAGAUAGUUAUUUACAACUUGAAUUAUCAAGUUUAUUUCAUAUUUUAAAUCAGGAAAUGUAAUAUUUAAUAUUAGCGGUAAAUACGACAUAACGAUAUAUUACAUAAUCUGAUACGUUAUAUUGUCAUAUCGCAGCAAGCCUAUUAACGAAGUGAGAGCUCUGAUUGCAUAUUUGCCAUGAAGCAGCACUGCAUUAUGGGGCUAUGCAGUGUUAAAUUAUUUGCAUCCCAGUGCAGACAGGAAAUAUCAAUCUUUUAGCAUUUACGUGAAAACAUAUUUGCUCUACGUGCCACAGUUGCUACGCCUGUAAAUAUUAACAGCGUCAACCAAAUAUCCAAAACAUUUACUCAAAAUGUUUCUUACAUUUUUGCGUAUAUAUAGAUGCGUGGGAAAGUGUGACAUCACACCACCGUUUCUGCAGUCCAAAUCAACCUCACCCAUCCCCGCUGGCCACCAAUGGACUGGUCCACAGACACCUCAUGCCCCCACUGAAAAUUGCAUCAGUGGAGGACAACAGCACCAAUUGGGAACAAGCCACAGCAUCAUCAAGAGCAAUCCUAAUACAGAUGGAAGGGCACAAUGUGGUCAUCUUCAGCAUGCAGGAUCAAGAGGGGACAAGUGAUGUGCUGCACACUGAUCCACACAAGUACAGGAUGUGCCGUCUAGAGCCAUGAUGAAGAGCGUGUCGUCAAUGCUUCCUACCUGGGCGAGAGGGUGACUAUCGGCCUCCUCCCGGAUAUUGGUGAACGGAGCUUCCAAGAUGACAGCACCUGGGGGUGCCCCUAUGCACGACAGAGAGCAGCACCAAGUGAGACAGGGGCAGCUCAUCACUCUUAACAUUCACGAGCAAAUCCAAGUUACAGUCCAAUUCCAUCGACACACUGUUAUCCAUAUGUAGGGGAGUAGUGGUUGACGGCACGUCACGCUCGCCCUCGGAGAGAGUGGCGUCGCAGAACGUGACCUCAGGCGGCCCCUGGGGGACGGUGACGUCAUGCCCCAGGGGGGGUAUUUAAAGGGGGACCCGGGAUGUAACCGGGGUUCGUCGGGGGUAGGAGUGGGGACUCAGGGUAGUUGAUCCUCACCCGAGGCUAGGGGAGGCUACUCCGCCCGACCGGCCGAGGUUGGGGUAGUCCCGGCAUGGGGGAAGGGGGGAGUUCCGAGUUAGCCGGGGUUGUAGGGAUGACAGUACCCUGUCCCCUGGGGAGUUAUCGGCUAUGGGGGUUUUGGUUCAGCAUAAGCCCUUAACAAACUUGGCAUAAGCCCUUAACAAACUUGGCGUAAGCCCUUCAUAAACGUGGCGUGAGCCCCUAACCGCGAACUGCUUCGGAGUCGUGGAUUGCACCGCAACACAUACGCUAAAUAAUUACAUCUGAAAUAAGGUUUCAUUGUCCGAAAUAUCUUGCAGGUAAGAAUGAUUAACCAGAAGUGGUUAUAGCAAGUGCUAAAUUCAUCAAAUUUCCCACAUGAACAUGAUGAAGAUGCCAGCAAUCAUGCUGUUCCCUCUUGCUGCUGCCACUGCUAAUGGUGAUGUCAUUAUUAUCAUCAUGAUGUUGCUGUCGUUGCUGUAAACCACUGGUGCUGGUAAUAUUGGUAAUUACAAAAUUAUGGUGUUAAUUCGUUAACGACUAAUAGUUAAGGAAUUUUACGUGAAAUUCCAAUACCUUGCUCACACAGUUUCCGACCCACAUUUGUAGCAACUCUGAAAAAAAUAAAAAAUAAACAUUAACUCAAACAUACAUGCAUACAGAGCACAAAGACAUAAACUGAAUGAUCUCCCAAGUAAUCGUAUAUACUGCUAGAUUAAAAAUUUGUUCUCUCGAAAUA